AUAUGUUUUUGAACAACUAACUGCUGUACAUGAGUUUGUAUUUCUGCAAUAGAAGAAAAAAGUUCCAGAACCAGAUGCAGACACACCUGGAGCCUACAAACUACCACCGCCGAGCAAGGACCAACAGUCACAUGAGGAGAUCAAAUAACAGCAGGAUUUGAAUCGCUCCGGAUGGGUUGGUGGCCAGGGCGCUGGUAUGAUUACAAUCCCUCAGGCCACCUGUUGCUGACACGACGACGACGGAGAACCUGUUUGGAGGCUCCCAUGAUGUAGGAGUAACCUCUCUGAGAUGAGCCCUUGACAAGGAGGGACGAGUCUUGGGUUCAUGAAUUACAGGCCCGACGGCGUCAGAAGAAACCACCCACAUGCAACAGCGAACCAAUGCACGAAGAUCACAUGAACCACCCGAAUCCAUGCUAGGCUAUCAAUAAUCUUGAAUUUUUUUUAAUUGUAUUAUGACUACCAAUUUUUACUUUACUUUUGCACAUGAUGAAAAUUGUAUGACCUUGUA
Molecule: long non-coding RNA, 511 nt
Organism: Gadus macrocephalus (Pacific cod)
Lineage: Eukaryota; Metazoa; Chordata; Actinopteri; Gadiformes; Gadidae
Exons: 2
Source: RefSeq, a predicted model, not a curated record